Molecule: long non-coding RNA, 396 nt
Filed under: Homo sapiens (human)
Lineage: Eukaryota; Metazoa; Chordata; Mammalia; Primates; Hominidae
Source: RNAcentral
UGCCUGUGCCCGGGCUGAGGAGACCUUCCUCGACACCCCACGUUAUGUGGGUUUCCGCAAGACCUUCCGCCAUUGCCUGGGCUUUGAAAGCGCUUUAGGAACGAUACGGAAACGGAGGCUUAGAAGUGGAAACUUUACAGAUAUGGAAACUGAGACUUAGAAAAAUGACCCGUCAAAGAGGUGGGAUUUCACCAUGUUGCCGAGACUGGUCUCAAACUCCUGAGCUCAAGUGAUCCUCCUACCUCAGCCUUCCGAGUAGUGGUGACUACGGACACAGGCCAUACACUUCACUGGAUGGAAGACAUUCUCCAGUAGUUUUCUGAAAAAGAGUAUGCAGAAGUUAAAUUUUCUGAGAUCUUGGUUGUCUGAAAAUGUCUUUAUUCUACCUUCCUGCUU